Molecule: microRNA precursor, 59 nt
Filed under: Nautilus pompilius
Lineage: Eukaryota; Metazoa; Mollusca; Cephalopoda; Nautilida; Nautilidae
Description: Npo-Mir-12507_pre stem-loop
Source: RNAcentral
AGUGGGCAACAAUUCCACCAGGACUGAAGCCGGUCUCCUGGGGGAUUUGAUGCCACAGC